Molecule: transfer RNA, 67 nt
Filed under: Chorthippus fallax
Lineage: Eukaryota; Metazoa; Arthropoda; Insecta; Orthoptera; Acrididae
Description: tRNA-Tyr
Rfam family: tRNA
About the family: Transfer RNA (tRNA) molecules are approximately 80 nucleotides in length. Their secondary structure includes four short double-helical elements and three loops (D, anti-codon, and T loops).
Source: RNAcentral
GGUAAGGUGACUGAAUCAUAAGGUGAUGGACUGUAAAUCUAUUUAUGAGUAAAUAUCUCUCUUACCA